CCUUUUGUAUAAUGGGUCAGCGACUUAUAUUCUGUAGCAAGGUUAACCGAAUAGGGGAGCCGAAGGGAAACCGAGUCUUAACUGGGCGUUAAGUUGCAGGGUAUAGACCCGAAACCCGGUGAUCUAGCCAUGGGCAGGUUGAAGGUUGGGUAACACUAACUGGAGGACCGAACCGACUAAUGUUGAAAAAUUAGCGGAUGACUUGUGGCUGGGGGUGAAAGGCCAAUCAAACCGGGAGAUAGCUGGUUCUCCCCGAAAGCUAUUUAGGUAGCGCCUCGUGAAUUCAUCUCCGGGGGUAGAGCACUGUUUCGGCAAGGGGGUCAUCCCGACUUACCAACCCGAUGCAAACUGCGAAUACCGGAGAAUGUUAUCACGGGAGACACACGGCGGGUGCUAACGUCCGUCGUGAAGAGGGAAACAACCCAGACCGCCAGCUAAGGUCCCAAAGUCAUGGUUAAGUGGGAAACGAUGUGGGAAGGCCCAGACAGCCAGGAUGUUGGCUUAGAAGCAGCCAUCAUUUAAAGAAAGCGUAAUAGCUCACUGGUCGAGUCGGCCUGCGCGGAAGAUGUAACGGGGCUAAACCAUGCACCGAAGCUGCGGCAGCGACGCUGAUGCGUUGUUGGGUAGGGGAGCGUUCUGUAAGCCUGCGAAGGUGUGCUGUGAGGCAUGCUGGAGGUAUCAGAAGUGCGAAUGCUGACAUAAGUAACGAUAAAGCGGGUGAAAAGCCCGCUCGCCGGAAGACCAAGGGUUCCUGUCCAACGUUAAUCGGGGCAGGGUGAGUCGACCCCUAAGGCGAGGCCGAAAGGCGUAGUCGAUGGGAAACAGGUUAAUAUUCCUGUACUUGGUGUUACUGCGAAGGGGGGACGGAGAAGGCUAUGUUGGCCGGGCGACGGUUGUCCCGGUUUAAGCGUGUAGGCUGGUUUUCCAGGCAAAUCCGGAAAAUCAAGGCUGAGGCGUGAUGACGAGGCACUACGGUGCUGAAGCAACAAAUGCCCUGCUUCCAGGAAAAGCCUCUAAGCAUCAGGUAACAUCAAAUCGUACCCCAAACCGACACAGGUGGUCAGGUAGAGAAUACCAAGGCGCUUGAGAGAACUCGGGUGAAGGAACUAGGCAAAAUGGUGCCGUAACUUCGGGAGAAGG
This 1140-nucleotide ribosomal RNA is filed under the name Escherichia coli. Its description in RNAcentral is "partial 23S ribosomal RNA". It matches the Rfam family "Bacterial large subunit ribosomal RNA", at positions 604 to 1746 of the family's 2925-position model. The record is from RNAcentral. Lineage: Bacteria; Pseudomonadati; Pseudomonadota; Gammaproteobacteria; Enterobacterales; Enterobacteriaceae.